GUGGAUUAGAUACCCUAGUAGUCCACGCUGUAAACGAUGUCGACUUGGAGGUUGUGCCCUUGAGGCGUGGCUUCCGGAGCUAACGCGUUAAGUCGACCGCCUGGGGAGUACGGCCGCAAGGUUAAAACUCAAAUGAAUUGACGGGGGCCCGCACAAGCGGUGGAGCAUGUGGUUUAAUUCGAUGCAACGCGAAGAACCUUACCUACUCUUGACAUCCACAGAACCUGGCAGAGAUGCCAGGGUGCCUUCGGGAACUGUGAGACAGGUGCUGCACGGCUGUCGCCAGCU
This 288-nucleotide ribosomal RNA is filed under the name uncultured bacterium. RNAcentral's name for it is "partial 16S ribosomal RNA". It matches the Rfam family "Bacterial small subunit ribosomal RNA", at positions 773 to 1060 of the family's 1533-position model. The record is from RNAcentral.